RNAcentral lists this unclassified non-coding RNA (354 nucleotides) under soil metagenome. RNAcentral describes it as "partial contains 5.8S ribosomal RNA, internal transcribed spacer 2, and large subunit ribosomal RNA". The stretch from base 1 to 119 matches the Rfam family "5.8S ribosomal RNA", at positions 35 to 154 of the family's 154-position model. The record is from RNAcentral.
GAUGAAGAACGCAGCGAAAUGCGAUAAGUAAUGCGAAUUGCAGAAUCCGUGAGUCAUCGAAUCUUUGAACGCACAUUGCGCCCUUUGGUAUUCCGAAGGGCAUGCCUGUUCGAGUGUCAUUAUCACCACUCAAGCCCGGCUUGCUGUUGGUGGCAGCGCAGCCGGUCAACCGGCUACGCUCCACCCAAAGAUAAUGACGGCGUCUGCGAGGACUCCUGUACAUUGAGCUUUCGGGCACGUACAUGGCUAGAAGUCCAGGCGCCGGUCGACGUCCUCCGGGACACUUUUUACCAAGGUUGACCUCGGAUCAGGUAGGGAUACCCGCUGAACUUAAGCAUAUCAAUAAGCGGAGGA